UACGUAGGGUGCGAGCGUUGUCCGGAAUUAUUGGGCGUAAAGAGCUCGUAGGCGGUUUGUUGCGUCUAUCGUGAAAACCUGCAGCUCAACUGUGGGCUUGCGGUCGAUACGGGCAUCACUGGAGUUCGGCAGGGGAGACUGGAAUUCCUGGUGUAGCGGUGAAAUGCGCAGAUAUCAGGAGGAACACCGGUGGCGAAGGCGGGUCUCUGGGCCGAUACUGACGCUGAGAAGCGAAAGCGUGGGGAGCAAACAGG
RNAcentral lists this ribosomal RNA (254 nucleotides) under uncultured bacterium. RNAcentral describes it as "partial 16S ribosomal RNA". It matches the Rfam family "Bacterial small subunit ribosomal RNA", at positions 524 to 776 of the family's 1533-position model. The record is from RNAcentral.